RNAcentral lists this long non-coding RNA (13903 nucleotides) under Homo sapiens (human). RNAcentral's name for it is "non-protein coding lnc-CTTNBP2-3:5". The record is from RNAcentral. Lineage: Eukaryota; Metazoa; Chordata; Mammalia; Primates; Hominidae.
CUCUGUAAUUCUGGGCCGUGUUCCGGAAGCCUCGUAAGACAAAAGCGAACGAGAGGCGGAAAAAAGGAAGACGCUUCCUGAAGUUGGGGGUAUGAGACAGAAGUUGGGGGUAUGAGACAGAAGUUGGGGGAGAGUGGGUUUCCAAUCCGAGUAAAAGGCAGUGUGGUGGAAGUUAACAAGAGAAAAUGUUGAGACGAGGUAGAGCAGGCAGGAAUAAACGAAGUAAGGUGUUUUUAUUAGGAGUGAAGGAGAGAGACGAGUGCUGUUGUGUGAAACGUAGGUGCGGGUAGUUGAAUCCCUAGUUUUCUGCAGCAGAAGCCGAAAAUAACGCUAAAAAUAAGUUCAGUUGCCCGGGACAGAGUUGCGCACGUUAUAACCACACGGUGUACGCCUCUUAAGAACUCAGCAGUGAAAUACACUUUCGUAUGUUCUGCUUUUGUCUCUAAAAGUGUUCCAAAAUGGAGGUGUUUUUACUUUUUAAAGAAACUAAAUGCAAAUAGGCAAAGGUGUGUGACCAUCCCUUAGAAAACGAAUGUCCACGCUUCUGCCACGCCAGGAUGGUCUACCUUUCUUCAGGGUGAAAUUAGUAAGUAAAAGGCUGCUGCAGCACCGAGAAAGGACCGAUGCAGGAAGGAUGCAGGAAGGCACCAAACUUGGUUCUAAUCUUGGCUCUGCUAACAAAUUGGUGUCAUUGCACAGGUCACUUCAAUUCUUCUGGGCCUCAGUUUCGUUAGAUAGUCCCAUAGGUAUCAUUUCAGAUAUUUCCCAAUGCGAUACUGUUCCCACUUCAUUUACUGUUGCCCUAACUUGAGAGAGCUUGAAGUUAGAAAGAGAUUUAUACACAAAACACCAGCAGGAGCGAUUUCCCUUUUUUGCAAAAUAUCUUUAUAAUUUCAGUUAAACAUGUAUUUUCUUAAGAUUUGUGGCUUUGUAAUAACUCUUGCAAUGUCAGCAGUUUUCCUCGGAAAAGGAAGCAUUUCUUAAUUAGAGCAUACCCACAAGAUACUCCCAAAUAGUUAAUAUUUUAUAUUCUGGAACUUAUUCCUAUCUGUUUGAAAUCAAAUGUAGUCAGGAAUUAGAUUGUGAAUGUCUCAUAUUCUCAGGGUAACAAAUGAAAGUGUCUUCCGCUAAUGAAAGAACAAAGAUAAUUGUGUGAUUUGCAAAUGUUAGGUGUUGAACCAAAACCCAAAGACUAAUUAAUGAUUAACGAGGUGUUAGGAGUUUUGUUAAAAAAAGAAAUUGCUGGGCAUGUUGGUGGGUUCCUGUAACCCCAGCUACUCUGGAGGGUGAGGCAGGAGAAUUGCUUCAACCCGGGAGGCGGAGGUUACAGUGAGCUGAGAUCACGCCAUUCCACUCCAGCCUGGGCGACAAAAGCGAAACUCCAUUUCAAAAACAAACAAACAAAAAAACCUCUGUGUGAUCUUAUAAAAAUGAGGCCGGGUGCAGUUGCUAACAUCUGUAAUCCCAGCACUUUGGGAGGCCAAAGCGGGUGGAUCACAAGGUCAAGAGAUCAACACCAUCCUGGCCAACGUGGUGAAACCCCCUCUCUACUAAAAUACAAAGAUUAGCCAGCAUGGUGGCGGGCACCUGUAGUCCCAUAUACCAGGGAGGCAGAGGCAGGAGAACCACUAGAACCUGGGAGGUGAAGUUUGCGGUGAGCGAAGAUUGUGCCACUGCAUUCCAGCCUGGGCGACAGAGCGAUACUCCAUCUCAAAAAAAAAAAAAAAAAAUGAAUACUCCCUAUGGCUUUUCAUCCCUUAGAGUGUGCUUUUGUAAGUCUAUUGCCCUGUGUAGUUGUCAUUAAAUUAAUAUGCCAGAUAAAUAACAGAUGAACAGUGUUUAUGGAGCAUCACAAAAUCUCUUUGGCUGGAAACUUUUUUACAUGUGUCUUAAAAUCGCUAUAUUUUCUGUAGUCUGUAAGGAUCACAGAUGUAGCGAGAAAACCUAUGGAUAAAUAAAAGUCGGUUUACUAAGACAAAAUGAAUUACAUCUGGAUGCAAACAUUACAUAUGUGAUUUAUCUAUAUUAGCCAUGUACCCUUGGGAGUACAUGAAUGUAGAAACCUUAGCAUCUCAUAAAGAAGAAUUACAUUAAAGCUCCAAUAAGGGAAAACUGAUACACAUAAACAUCUGACUACUAAAAAAUUAAGAGUUAACAGUGAAACUUGCCCCUUAAGUCGAAACCUCUCAAAGUAAUGCUCAUUUAAAUGACAUUAUAUCACUGAUAAAGUAUCAACCAAAGUAUGCUUGUAAUAGAUAAUUUUAUUCCAUUACUUCUGAAUCUAAAUCUUGAGCAGAAAACCUUAACCUAAAGGAUCAGACUUCUAGUAGAAUCCUAGGAAACUGAAUUUGCGCUUCUCUGAAUAGUUUAUGGAAAACUAUCACAAUAGCAGUUUUUUAAAAUAAAAUAAUAUUUUUAACCUUAUGUGAUGAGAACUUUUAUUUCCUUUUACGCGUUUAUGCUUUACUUCCCUACAAGUUGCAAAGGUGUUAACCAAUCAGUAAUAUAUAUUGAAUAGAUCUAACUAGAGUUCUCCUAGGCAGAAAAGGACAUAAGUAGAUCAUGCGUCUCUACUUACAAGGAAAUUCCUGAAUAGUUACAGACCUUUACUUAUAAAAAUGAAAUAAUUAUUGCAUGAAAAAAAUGAAUAUUCCAAAUUACAAAUAAAGGUAAUUGAUAGUCUUCAUUUAACACUAUAAAUUACAAAGUGCUUUACUUACUUUUUUCAUUUAGGGUAAUAAAGACAGGUAGAUUUAACUCCAUUACUUAAGGGAUGGAAAAGAUCAAAUAUAAGUGAUUUGUUAAUUGAGAAGCAGUUUAGGAUCAUUAUUAAGAACACUGACUCAUGAACUGCCUGAAUUUUUAUUUGUUUGACUUUGAGCAUACUUAACCUUCUGUGCCUGUUUCCCCAUCUGUAAAAUGAGGAAAACUACACAAAACUACAUCUAAUUGUUGAGGAACUAAAAGUAAUACUUGAAGAGCCUGAUAUAUAAUGAGUACUCAUUGUUAUUCAAGGACAUAGACUAUACCAUAAAUAACCUUUUUUUUUUUUUUAAAGUCCCAAAGCUUAUUCCAAUACGGUGUUUUGUUCAUGGCCAUUUUUUAUGAUUGGAUAGAUUCAGCUGUGCACAUUUUAAGUGCUUAAGGAAGGGAAAGAUGGAUAUGAGUUCAAAUCUUGGGAGGUUUUACAAAACAGGUAAGACUUAAAUCAGUGCUUGAGAAGAAGUGCAAAUACACUUUAGGAAAAUGACCUGACAUUAAUUUUUUUUUUUUUUUUUUGAGAUGGAGUCUCGUUUUGUUACCCAGGCUGGAGUGCAGUGGUGCGAUCUAGGCUCACUGCAACCUCUGCCUCCCGGGUUCAAGCGAUUCUCCUGCCUCAGACUCCCGAGUAGCUGGGAUUACAGACAUGCACCACCACGUUUGGCUAAUUUUUGUAUUUUUAGUAGAGACGGGGUUUCACCAUGUUGGCCAGGCUGGUCUCAAAAUCCCAACCUCAGGUGAUCCGCCCACGUCGGCCUCCCAAAGUGCUGGGAUUACAGGCGUGAAUCAUCACGCUUGGUCCUGACAUUAAUAUUUAGCGGAGGUAAAAACUGAAGAUAAAAAGGCCAGCAGGAGUUCAGAUAUGCGUUUCUGAUUUGUAGCAGUAAGAAUGGAGAGGCAUAUUCUGUGCUCACAGAGGUUAAUAAGUAAUAAAAGAAUGGAGAGGCAGAAAAAAAGUGAUUUGAAGACAGAGCUUAAGAAAGGUGAUGAGGCCAGACCCAGUGGCUCACGUGUAAUUUCAGCACUAUGGGAGCCUGAGGUAGGAAGAUUGCUUGAGUCCAGGAGUUUGAGGCUAGCCUGGGCAAAAUGGCAAAACCCCAUCUCCACCAAAAAAAAAAAAAAUUAGCUGAGCAUGGUGUCAUGCACAUGUAGUGCCAGCUACUUGGGAGGCUGAGGCAGGAGGAUAGCUUGAGCCAGGGAGGUUGAGGCUGCAGAGAGCCAUGUUGGAGCUACUGCCCUCCAGCUUGAGCAAUAGAGUGAAACCCUAUCUAAAAAUGGAAAAGAAAAGAAAUGAGGCAGACAGCAAAUCCUAGGUGGCAUAGUAAUGGUGGUUGGUGAAUCAGAGGUUAGCAAGAUUAGGGAGACACAGGAAAAGGCAAGACUGCUUGUUAACAAAGUAGAUGGGGCCAAUCUGUAGAACUGUGUAAACAUGAUACACUUUGCUCACUAGCCAAUGGCAAGGCCACGGAACAUACUGGUGAUACUUACACGGGCAUAUACUUUACCUUAAAGAUCUGGAGAACCGGUAUAUCUCAGGAGGCCCUCUGUUUCACCUCAUAAGGGGCAAUAUAUAUUAAUAAAAUACUUACGUAUGCUUUUAUGCAUUCUUUAUGGUAUUUUUAAAAUUGAUUUUUAUUAUUAAAAUUUUUAGACCAGGUGCAGUGGCUCACACCUGUAUUCCCAGCACUUUGGGAGGCCAAGGUGGGCAGAUUGCUUGAGCCCAGGAGGUUAAGACCAACCUGGGAAACAUGGGGAAAAACCCAUCUCUACUAAAAAUACAAAAAUUAGCUGUGCAUGGUGGCCCACACCUGUAUUCACAGCUACUUGGAAGUCUGCAGUGGGAGGAUCACUUAAGCCCAGUGAGCCGUGAUCAUGCUACUGCACUCCAGUCUGGGCGACAGACUGAGACUGGUCUCAAAAAAAAAAAAAGAAAAAAAAUUUUUUUUUUUUUACCAGCCAUUUUUUACUCCCCAAAUCCUGCUCUCCCUUUACAUUAUUUUUAUUUUGGAAACUGGGCUGCUAUAACAAAAUACAUUAGACUUGGUAAUUUAUAAACAACAAAAAUUUAUUUUUUACAGUUCUGGAGGCUGAGAAAUCCAAGAUCAAAGCAACAGUAGACUCUGUGUCUGAUGAGGGCCUGUUCCUUAUAGAUGACACUUUCUUGCUGCAUCCUCACAUGGCAGAAGGGGGCAAGGCUGCUCCGUUCAACCUCUUCAGUAAGGGCACUAAUCCUGUUCAUGAGGGCAGAGUCCUUAUGACUUACUUCCCAAAAGACCCCAUCUCUUAAUGCUAUCAUAUUGGAUAUUAGGUUCCAACAUAUGAAUUUUGGAGGACACCAGUAUCCAGACCACAGCAGAAGCCAAAAAAUGACAAAACAUUCUGGCUAUAAUAUGCUGUGUAUAAUACAUUCCUGAAAAUCUUCACAUUUUAAGAAAAUGGCUCACUUAAAAUAAGAGCCUAAGGAAAAAAUAAGUCUGGGAAAGCCCUCUCAAACUCUGAACAACUGAGCGGUGGUUCCCAAACUUUGCUACUUACUGAUAUGAUCUUUAAAAACUGAUAGCUGGCUCCCACACUCAAGACAUUCUGAGUUAAAUAGAAUGAGGUUCAGCUGGGCCUCAGUAUUCUAAAACAUCCGUAGUUAACUAAUAAACAACAAAGUCUGGCAACCACUGAACUGUAGUAUUAACAGACAAUAACAACCGAAAUGAAAAUAGUAGUUCAUUUAGAAGGACGUGUAAAACUCCUAACAAAUAAAGCAAUGUUAUAUUAACUUAAAGAGUUUUACCUUUUUAAAAAAGUUGAAGGUUGCUUAAAGAAUGACAGUUUACAGAAGGGUAGACACUGAUGAGUGAUGGAAACAAGGGCGGGAGAUCAUCAGAAGUAGCAGAUGGAGAAGCAGUUGCAAACUUUGCAGGAAAUGUGGAGUUGCCAGAGAUGGAUGGCUCUGACUCGUUGUCUGAUGUCGCUUUUGCCCAAAGAUGUGAGGGAGCUGCAAAAUAAGCACUAUCAAAAUGGAGCAUAUGGCUGAACCAAGCCCAGGGAAGAAUGGGGUCCCACACCGUGAAAGGUCAUCAUUUGAGUGCUAUACUCCCCCAGGCCUGGUUCAAUCACAAAACUAAGUGCAAUAAUUGUACUUCAGCUAUUGUGUCUUUGUACUACAAAGCAUUAAAGUGCUAUGAAAAAUUAUGUAUGAACCAACCCACUUUCCCUAUUAUUCUAACAUUACUCUCCUGUUUAACAAUCUCAUGUGACCUCAUGUGUACUAUAAAAAACAGUACUCGGCUGGGUGUAGUGGCUCAUGCCUUUAACCCCAGCACUUUGGAAGGCCAAGGCAGGCAGAUUACUUGAGCUCAGGAGUUCCAGACCAGCCUGGGCAAUGUGGUGAAAUCCUGUCACUACAAAAAAUUAGCCAGGCGUGAUGAUGCGCACCUGUAGUCCCAGCUACUCAGGAGGCUGAAGUGGGAGGAUUCCUUGAGACCAGGAGGCAAAGAUUGCAGUAAGCCAAGAUCUUCUCACUGCACUCCAGCCUGGGUGAUAGAGCUAGACCCUGUCUCAAAAAUAAAAAAUAAAAAAGACAAUACUGUAACAUAACAGACUAUGUUAGUAUUCCACUGAGAAUCUGGAGUUUAAAUAAUGUCAUCCUGCCCCUGUUUUACUUAUCUCCUUCUGUGGUUCAUACUGUCCUUUAGCACCAAGUAAUUCUUUAGGUAGGCAGUUCUUCCACCUCUGACUUUGCCCUAGAAGGGUACUUGAAUUCGUAUAACUUGGGCAGCUUUAUUUAAAUAGCACAUACAGCAUAUGACUAAUCCAAAUGGAGCACCCAUACCUGAUCAUUUUUCAAUAUCUUUUUUUAAAAAAUAAAUUACCAUGUAUGUGUUAUCACUAUAGUGAACCAGAUUAGGGAACUUUAUUUUAAGCUGAGUACAUUUGCUUUCUUUUUUAUUGUUUUGCUUGGCUUUUAAAAAUUGUCUUUAGCAGCUUGGAUUGCAAUACAGGUAAAAUUAUACUGUCAUUUCCAUUGAAUUUUUUGCAUGCCAAAAUUGGAAAAUAAUAUUGAUAUCAGAAAUUACUUAGGUCACUAGGAUCUUCAGUCUGAAUUCAUUCCUUAAUGUUAUAAUCCACACAGAAGGAACAGAUUGAUUUGGACUUGUUGCAGACAUUGUAUGGCAAGGUAGAGCAAUGCUAAUUUAUUGAUUUUUUUUUUUUGGAGAAAAAUACUGAGGUUAGGCAAUGAGAGAUGAAUAAUGUAAGAAGGUAUAUAGAAAUGUAAAUGGAAUAGUGAGAGUGAAGUAUAAGAAUUACAUUGACAAAAGCUAAACAUAAAUAACCUUGAGUGACCAAUAGAAAGCAAAUGCCUGAAAUUACAUUAAAACACAUGGGGAGCAAAUAAGGGUUGAAAAUUACUUAUUGGGUACAAUGCUCACUACUCAGGUGAUGGGUGCACUAAAAGCCCAGAUUUCAUAUAUGCAUGUAAGAAAGCUGCACUUGUACCCCCUAAAUAUUAAAAAAAAAUUUUAAAUUAAAAACAUAUGGGGCAGAAAAAAAUCAAGGCUUUCCCUUAUUUUUGAUAAAUUCUCAUUAUAUAAGUUUUGUUUCAUUUUUGUAACAAAUCAGAAUGACUCUCCCACUUCCACCCUUUUUCUUUCAGACUAUGGAUCACAGAUAUUUAGAGCUAAAAGGGAACCUAAGAAUUUUCAAAUUUACAUUCUGUGUCAUGUGGAUUAGGAAACUGAAUCCCAAAUAAGUUCAUUGACUCUUUUAGGGUUACAUAGUAGAACCUACAAUCAAGGCCUCCUGGAUUCUAGUUCAGUGCUUCUUACAAUAGUUAAUAAUAAAAGUAACUGUUCUACUUGAAGGACAAAAUUUUGAGUUUAUAUGUACAUAUGAUCAGCGCAUAUCCAUGGAUACGUCAUUGCUAUUGUAUGUAGACUUUUUCGGAAAUCAGAAGGAAUAUGUAUACCUUUGAGUCCAAAUACUCAAAGGCAGGUUGACAUUUUUCAGAUGUCACUACCAAUGGGAAGAAUAGGAAAGGCAACUAAGAUAUUGUGGAAGGUAGAAUAAUCUCUCCUACCCCCCCAACCCCCAAAGAUGUCCACAUCCUAAUCCCUGGGAACUGUGAUUGUUACUUUACAUGUCAAACAGCACUUUUCAAAUGUGAUUGAAGGUAAGGACCUCGAGAUGGUGAGGUUAUUCUGGAUUACUCAGCUGGCCCCCUCUAAUCAUGAGUCCUUAAAUGCGGAAGAGGGAAUCAGAAGAGUGGGUCUGAGAGAUGUGACAUGAAAAGACUUGUCCUGCUGUUGAUGGGCUUUGAAGUUGGAGGAAGAGGGCCAUGAGCCAAGAAAUGUGGUUAUCUUUAGAAGCUGAGAACAGCUCUUAGUUUAUAGCCAGCAAGAAAACAGGGACCUUGGUCCUACAACAGCAAGAAACUGAAUUCUGCCAAAAUCUAAGUGAGCAGGAAAUGGAUUCUUCCCUACAGCCUCCUUCUGGAGGCAUACAUUCUACUAACACCUUGAUUUAAGUCCAGUCAGACCCAUAUCAGACUUACAGAACUGUAAGUUAAUAAAGUUUUGUUGUUUUAAGCCACUAAGUUUGUGGCGAUUUGUUAUGGAAGGAAUACAAAGUGAUACAGAUAUGCAACCUCUUAAUUUAUUGUCUUCCUGGAUAAAAGUAAAGUGUCUAUACUGUACAUAGGAGGUUUUGAACAUUUUUUAUUCAUUCUAAGCAACUUAAGUACUAUUGCUCAUGGCCAUCUUUUUCUGUGGCACAAAGUCUUUGUAAAUUCUAAACUUCUACCCAGAAUUUCCUCUGUGGUGACAUUAAGUAAAAGGUGAGUUUCUUCAAAGUAUUAUUUAAUAUAUUUGUGUGUUUUUCUCAUUAUACUGUCAUUCUUAUAAAGUGGAUGCUCCACUGUCAUGACAAGUAGUGGUACAUGUUCAGUCUUUACAUAAAUCUUAAGUCAUCUUCGUCAAGUACCUACUGUGUUCCACACCUCUGUUACUCCAGUGGUUUCUGCUCUUUUUUUCUCUAGGUUUUGUUUCUUGCCCGAACUCAUUUUGUUGGUAAUUAACAGAGCCAGUCUUUAAACCUAGACAGUCAAGCUCCAAUGUGCUGCACUGCCAUUGAGAUUGUUGCCCAGGAAAAAUUCACAGUAGUGUCAAGAAAUAACCAACAUAUAUAGACAGAGGAUCACUUAAGGUUAUUCAGAUUUGAGUAGUUGUGACUGUUUCCUCAGAUUCCUGGGCCUAACUCUUUACAAAGAGGAAGAGACAGAUUCAACACUUUUCUGCCUCUGUGGCAUUUUUUCCAUUUCUUCAAUAUUAAGUAUCUGUAUCAUUACUAUUUUCUCUAACAGGGGUUGGCAAACUACAAACCUUGGGGAAAUCAUUCUGUUAGUAAAUGUUAUUGGCACACAACCACAAUCAUUAAUUUGUAUAUCAUCUAUGGCUGCUUUGAGGCUACAACAGCAGAGUUGAGUAAUUGCAACAGACGCCCACAAGACCUAAAAUAUUUAUUAUCGGGCUCUUUACAGAAAGUUUGCAGACCGCUGUUUUCUAAUGUCAACAAAUGAGAUUUCCAGAGCUUUUAUAUUACCAAUUCAUCAUUCUGACCGGCCUCAUGUAUUCUCAUAAUGCCCAUUUUUGACUAGCUUUGAGAUAUGAUUCUUCCAUUUUUCUGAACUUGACCUCUUGCACUGAGAAUAAACAGACAUAACAAAACCUCAGAGGACUUCAGAGAAAGUCUGUAUUGUUUCCUCCCUACCUACCCUACUACCUAUUGUUUUUAGAAUUUCUGUCAAGAAUAUGCAGGAAAAGAAAUGAAAAAUAACAACAAAAAGAAUAUGCAGGAACUUUUCCAAGUCUUUACCCCAUGUGAUAAUUACUCACAUAAUGGAAUUUUUCAUGCAUGUGGCAUGAUCAAAAAUAAUGAUCUGCAUUUUAACAUAUGCACCAGAAACUAAAUUGAAAAUCACCAACUUGUCAAAAUAAUGCAGUGAAUUGAAACAAAAUCUCAGCAGAGAGAUUUUUUGAAAACAAAAAGAUAAUUCUUAUUAAAGACAGCUGUUUGUUGGGGACAUUAGUCAUUGCUUUUUGGCUGCUUAACCUCCGUACUGUCUUUUUAUUUCUUGAGAGUUCCCUAUUUUACAAGUUUUGGUGAUGGAGCUCAAUAUAUCAGCCACUUUUUUCUGAUGUUUCUUGCAGUGAAAGAGGCCUAGGCUCUGCUUAUGACUACCACAGAUAUUGAAUUGAGGGCGGGUGCUGCAAAGCAGCAAAUCCUGUAGAGAAACGACUCUGAUGGUCAUACCAGUUGUAGCAAGAGCAAAUUCAUAAAGGAGCAUGACAUUGAUGCCUGUGGUGACAUCCAGGGCACAGUGAGCAGUGCCACUGUGUAUUGGGUCAGAAGCUUCAGUUUGAUUGUUUGACAGUGGUGUUCAAAGGGUCCUGGCUGACCCAGCUUUGCUGUGCAUUUGGGACCUGCCACCCAGCUACCUAACCUCUGCAUAUUAUUCUGCUUUUUAAAAGGAUAUUGAGUAGCUCACAUAAUUGUAAGACAAUUAUGAGCUAUUUUUGCUCAUAUGGCUUCUAAAUUUUAACUAAAAAAAAUUAAACCAAGACCCUUUUAUGCAUGUUUACUUUAAAAUGCUAAAUUUUUAUAUACUAAAUUUAUUAAUUGCAAAGAAUGGAACUUCUAGCACAUAGUGUUUUGUUUAUGUGCUUUAAAUAUAUUUUCAUUAAAAUUGUAGCUGCAAAUUUAAGUCAUAUUUAUGGUAGAGCCCAUAUCCUUAUCAAACCCAUUAGCUGACUUUAUUUUUCUAUUUAAAUAAAUAUGUUACCCUGCAUCCUGUGAGUGCUGUUGGAGAGUCAGUCUACCAUGAGCCCUGAAAAAUCACUGCACAUUCUUUCCGGGGAUGCUGCUGGUGCAAAGCCCUGACUACUCCUUACCUAGGCAAGUUUUAUGUCUCGUAUAGGUAUAUUAGUAUAUAAUAAUAUCCAUUUCCCAUUUCUCUCAAAAUGACUUCACUGUGCUCCAGUGUACUUUCAGUUUUUGAUAUGUGCAUCUCCGCGUUUGAAGGCGUUUUCUGCACCCCUCUCCAUGUGUGGCAGGCUAGGAAUUCUGGGGAAUUAACACUCCCUCAGGGAGCAGUCUUCAGUCAGUGACUGAGUUUAUAAAUAACAGCCUCUUCAUCAACAAGGUGGGAUAAUCCAGGUGCUGUAUCUCUGCUCAUUCAACAGUAGUGGCUUAACUGUGCACAUUUUAUUGACUCACUUCCUUUCCUUAUAACCCUUCUCCACUCCCUUACUGGUUUUCCCUAAAUAAUCUACUUGCACUUAAAUUCUUGCCCCAGGAUCUGCUUUUGGGAGAACUCAAACUAAGAUAGAGAUCAAAAGUACUCUUCCUUUAAAAAGGUCUCUAUCUUGAGUUAGGAGCAGGAGUCUAGCCCCAGUCCUUGUCAUCAUUUGACUUCACCUGAUUCUCUUUUAUGUGAAGCAAAGGACAGGGUAGGGUUUCUCCCCAUCUUCACACAUCUGCACAAGCCUCCCUAAAUAUUCCUGAGUGGGUAGUCUUUCCUACCACCAAAGUUGGUCUAAAGUGGAUUGUUUACUCAAAAACAAAAUUCCUGUCUUUAGUAGACCAUAGACUGUCUGCUGCACCAGACUUCAACUUGGGCCACUUAUGUAGCAAGAAAUGAUACAAAGAAGUAACUUAGUUAUCUGAUUGUGGCACAGCUAACAUUUAUUUCAUGGUGUUAGGACCGACUGUUGACUGUGGGUUGCCACUUAACCUCAUCAAGCUGGAAAUGUAAAGAGUAGAGUGAGCCCACAUUUCAGAGCUGCUCUGACCUACUGAUUCAUUCCUCUGGGAGGUUGAGAUCCCCAGACUCUGAGAGAACCUCCCGCUUGUUGCAGCCACGAAUCUAUAUUCUAAUCUCAUGUAUAUCAUUUGCCUUGCUUGCUUACUGGUUCAAAGCAAGCCAAGGUGAGAGCGCUGUUAGGUGAAUGUGAGAUGCCAUUCUCACCUGUCCUCCAGCAAUAACAACCUCUCUCUGUGGACUGGCAUAGGUGGUCACCACCAAAUAAACCUGAACAUCCUGCAAGCAUAUUGGGCUCUUCAAGCAAACAUUUGACAAAUUUGAUCUCACCUUCCUUCCCAACACCACAGUGAUCUAGUUGUGGCUUUCAAGAAGCCUGAGCCAAACUCGCAGUGUGGAGAUGUUAGUUAGUCAUGGAGAUGAAGGUAUAAGCUACCCAGGCCUUUUCCCCGGAGUAAUUGGGCAUGGGCUGGUGAACUUGCAAGGGCCUGGUGUUUAUGGAAUUUCACUCUUACCAAUUUGGUAAAAAAAAAAAAAAAAAAAAAAAAAAAAAAAAAAAAAAAAUUAAAAAGUAUGUUUCCACAGAGCAUCGUGCUGUGAGCCUGUGAUCUCAGCUACUUGGUAGACUGAGAUGAGAGAUCACUUGAGUGCAGAAAUUCGAGGCUAUAGUGAGCUGUGAUCACACUAUUGCACUCUAGCCUGGGCGAGAGUGAAUCCCUGUCUCCAAAGUAAAUAAAUUAAUUAAAAGUGUGUUUUCAUUUCUUAUCUCAGAGAAUCUUUGUGAAAAUAGCUCUUCUUGCUUCUGUUGUAGCUGGCCCUUCUUUGCCUUCCCCAGAGUUUAGACGGAAGACCAGAAGACCCUGAGUGAAGAAAAAGAUCUUCUUUGUAGUCUCUUUUCAUUCCAUACAAAUAGAUGACUAUAAACACAUUAGACAUUACCAGUCUAUUUGCAGCAGUCGACACAACUUUACCUUAAAUUUUCCUCCCCCAGCAUGCCUCUCCAAAGAAACUUACACAGAAAACCUCACUAACGUUAGAUGUUGCACUGGGCUUUAACCUUUUCUACUCACUCAUUCAGAAAUCUUUAAUGAAAGUUUGACAUGUUAAAAAAAAAAGAACAAUUAUUUUCACAGAGAAUAUUAGAAACGAGUAAGACACAUUUUCUUAAGACUUUUACCUUUUUCAUGGAAUGUGUGUGUGUGUAUACAUGUCUGUUUGUAUGUAUAUAACAUUAACCACCAUAGGAAAGCAGAAAGAAAAUAUGCAGUGGUAUGUAUUGCCACACAGAUACUGCUGGGAACAGUAUCUCUCUUUGCACAGAAACUUUUCAGUUUCUCUGUGGGUGGUGUCUCUUGCCCCUUUCAGUUCCCAAGAUAAUUGGGUAUCCAGAGGUCACUACUAGACAGAGAGCCUUAUUUCCUGACCAUUGUCAAUUCUACAAACGGUGGAGCAAAGUGCCAGAUACUGAGACAGUCAUUGGCUCUCUGAAGCUAAAUAAGAUACUGUUCCUGCUUUUGAGGAGUUUAGGUUGUAAUGAUAUCUUUUCUAAAAUGAAUAGAAUUAGCUGAGGUGGUUCUCCCUGUAUUGAGUUUGGGUUGGCAGGCAAGGAAAUGGAGUUAUGCACAAUUGGCUCAACGUUCAAUGGGCACAAAAUCUUAGAUGAAAAUGAGAAUUGGAAGGAUCCUGUUUUAGCAUUAGUGAAUUAUUCCUUGUAUCCAAUAAGUAGAGUGAUGGACAAAGGUCUCUCUGGGACUAAUUAGGAGAGACAAAUCCAAUUUAGAAGGCUGAUACAAAAUUUCUAGAUUGGUUUAAAAAUCAGUUGAAUCAAUUAAUGUCUCCUCCUGCCUGAGAUAGUGGAAUAACUUGCCAAUAUUGAUUUAGAGAGUUUAUUGAUGUCUCUUGGUCAUUUCACUUCUUGACUGGCUCCCCUAAUAUGCCAUACCCUCCACUCAAGGCUCUGCAGUGGAUUCUCAUCUGCUGAGGGGCAGGUUCAAGUCCAUGCACAGGAUGCCUCGAUUAUUUCAUCCUGAAUCAUAACUCCCUAGUCUACGCCAUUUGUUCAAAAUUCUAGGAGAGCUACUCUACCCACAUUGGGCUCCAGGUGAAUAAGAAAUAAAUGUUGUAUAACAACAAAUUUGGGUUUAACUCUACACUAAGAUUUUUUUUUUCAUUUUGUAAAUGAGGUUUAAAUUUGGGUGAAGGUUGUAUAUCAUACAUAAUUUCUGUUUAAGUUUAUUAGUGAAGUAAUUCUGAGGCAGUUUCAUGAGUGCAAUUAACAAAUAUUUUAUCCAGGAGAAGUUUUCCUGGAAGAACAGAAAUACACUGGAAAGUUUU